This 87-nucleotide transfer RNA is filed under the name Candidatus Adamsella sp. Its description in RNAcentral is "tRNA-Leu". It matches the Rfam family "tRNA". Rfam says of the family: Transfer RNA (tRNA) molecules are approximately 80 nucleotides in length. The record is from RNAcentral. Lineage: Bacteria; Bacillati.
GCCCUAGUGGCGGAAUCGGUAGACGCGUCGGACUUAAAAUCCGAUUGGGCGAAUAACUCAGUACCAGUUCAAGUCUGGUCUAGGGCA